RNAcentral lists this small nuclear RNA (105 nucleotides) under Notamacropus eugenii (tammar wallaby). Lineage: Eukaryota; Metazoa; Chordata; Mammalia; Diprotodontia; Macropodidae. The record is from RNAcentral.
UUUUUCUGUGAAGCUUUGGUAAUAAAUGUACUAAACUUGAAAUAGGGAAGAUUAGCAUGGCCCGGGGCAAGGAUGAUGCAAAUUCACGAAGCAUUCCAAGUUUUU